Molecule: ribosomal RNA, 556 nt
Filed under: Gambierdiscus polynesiensis
Lineage: Eukaryota; Dinophyceae; Gonyaulacales; Pyrocystaceae
Description: partial large subunit ribosomal RNA
Rfam family: Eukaryotic large subunit ribosomal RNA
Source: RNAcentral
ACAGAGACCCACUGAAUUUAAGCAUAUAAGUAGGUGGAGGAAAAGACACAAACCUAGACUCCAGAAGUAGUUGCGAAUGAAUGUGGAGCUGCUCAGCUUGAAAUCUGUUAGGCACCUGCCACUGACAUGAAACUUCUGAGUGUGUUGUCAAUGGAGGUGCUUGUGUUAGCCACUUUGGAAAGGGGGAUGCAGGUAUAUACAAGGGUUAGAAUCCAUCUUGUCACUUGCUUUGCCUCUGUGUAUUGCACAGGUGUUCCAGAAUCAUGCUCUUUGGAAGUGGAGUGAAAAGGGGGCGGUAGAUUUCAUCCAAAGGUGACCACAAUGCUGAGACCGACAGUGAAGAAGUACCAUGAGGGAAGUGUGAAAAGGACUUUGGAAAGAGAACUAAAAGAGCCUGCACUUGCUGAAUGGCAAGCACACAGGAUAGCAGCGCUUGGGAGUAUUGCUUGAUGUUGAGUAGGGAGUGUGCAAGCAUGUCUGUUAAGCAUCCGGAGCUUCCUUCCAUGCAUGCCAGCAGCAACAGGGGCAGUCUGUGACUGUGGGACUGCUUGAGUGU